RNAcentral lists this ribosomal RNA (570 nucleotides) under uncultured bacterium. Its description in RNAcentral is "bacterial SSU rRNA". It matches the Rfam family "Bacterial small subunit ribosomal RNA", at positions 34 to 643 of the family's 1533-position model. The record is from RNAcentral.
CGCUGGCGGCGUGCCUAACACAUGCAAGUCGAACGCUCUACGCAAGUAGAGAGUGGCGGACGGGUGAGGAACACGUGGGUUAUCUACCUUUCGGUGAGGAAUACCGGCGAGAAAUCGCCGACAAAACCGCAUACCCUCAGCAAUGAGGAAAGUCGCAAGACGCCGGAAGAUGAGCCUGCGGCCGAUUAGCUAGUUGGUGGGGUAAAGGCCUACCAAAGCGACGAUCGGUAGCUGGUCUGAGAGGACGAUCAGCCACACUGGGAUUGAGAACGGCCCAGACUCCUACGGGGGGCAGCAGUGAGGAAUUUUCGUCAAUGGCCGAAAGGCUGAACGAGCAACGCCGCGUGCAGGAAGAAGGUCUUCGGAUCGUAAACUGCUUUUCUCUGGGAAGAGAAUAGACGGUACCAGAGGAAGAAGCCCCGGCUAACUACGUGCCAGCAGCCGCGGUAAUACGUAAGGGGCGAGCGUUGUCCGGAUUUACUGGGCGUAAAGGGCGCGUAGGCGGUGCUUUAAGUUUGAAGUGACAGUGCUCGGCUUAACUGAGCAAGGCCUUUGAAAACUGGAGCACUU